CUUAUCUACCCCCAUGACCCCUCCUAGAUGGCUACAUUGACUUCAGGUGGAGAGAAGCCAAACAAAGACUUGGAGAGCUGCAGUGAUGACGACAACCAGGGGUCCAAGUCCCCAAAGAUUCUGACUGAUGAGAUGCUGCUCCAAGCCUGUGAGGGGCGAACAGCACACAAGUAAGUAGUGGUCAGCUCCUUGAGCUCCCUUUUCUCCCCACCUUUGACCAUGGCCUGUGCCACCUCUUGGUUCUUUUUACCCCAGGGAAAUGAUUCCUAUUACCUACCCAUCUAUUGCCUGAAGAUAGGCAGCUCCCCACUCCUACCCUCCACCAACUUUCCCUGCAGGCUUAAGGACUAGGCCCAUUUCCCCCGAUACCCUCGCUUUGACUUGGACCCUGUCUGUUUCAGGGCUGCCCGUCUUGGGAUCACAAUGAAGGCCAAGCUUGCUCGCCUAGAGGCCCAGGAGCAGGCCUUCCUGGCUCGUCUCAAAGGCCAGGACCCUGGGGCCCCUCAACUGCAGUCAGAGAGCAAGCCCCCCAAA
RNAcentral lists this long non-coding RNA (534 nucleotides) under Homo sapiens (human). Its description in RNAcentral is "non-protein coding lnc-GPATCH4-1:9". The record is from RNAcentral. Lineage: Eukaryota; Metazoa; Chordata; Mammalia; Primates; Hominidae.